RNAcentral lists this ribosomal RNA (379 nucleotides) under uncultured eukaryote. RNAcentral's name for it is "partial 18S ribosomal RNA". It matches the Rfam family "Eukaryotic small subunit ribosomal RNA", at positions 592 to 976 of the family's 1831-position model. The record is from RNAcentral.
CAAUAGCGUAUAUUUAAGUUGUUGCAGUUAAAAAGCUCGUAGUUGGAUUUCGGAUGGGAUUUGCCGGUCCGUCGUUACGAUGUGCACUGGCCAGUCCUAUCUUGUUGUCGGGGACUAGCUCCUUGGAUUCACUUCCUGGGACUAGGAGCUGACGAGGUUACUUUGAGUAAAUUAGAGUGUUCAAAGCAAGCCUACGCUCUGAAUACAUUAGCAUGGAAUAACACGAUAGGACUCUGGCUUAUCUUGUUGGUCUGUGAGACCAGAGUAAUGAUUAAGAGGGACAGUCGGGGACAUUCGUAUUUCAUUGUCAGAGGUGAAAUUCUUGGAUUUAUGAAAGACAAACUUCUGCGAAAGCAUUUGUCAAGGAUGUUUUCAUUAA